RNA transcript from Pezoporus flaviventris, 1615 nucleotides. It is a transcript of the gene named stum, mechanosensory transduction mediator homolog, with no coding region annotated. The transcript has 4 exons. NCBI's taxonomy places the organism in Eukaryota, Metazoa, Chordata, Aves, Psittaciformes, Psittacidae. The record is from RefSeq and is a predicted model, not a curated record.
AGGGGAGGGGUCGGCGCGGGCCCGCGCGGCGGCGGGAGCGCGCUUGGCGGCAGCUGGUGGCCCGGCGGGGCACCGCCACCCUCGGCUGCACCGCGCCGGCCAUGGAUCCCUUCCCCAAGGACGGCGAGAGCGCGGCGGGCGCGGAGCCCAGCCGGGGCGCGGCCCCCUCCAGCGGGGUGGUGGUGCAGGUCCGGGAGAAGAAGGGCCCCCUGCGCGCCGCCAUCCCCUACAUGCCGUUCCCCGUGGCUGUCAUCUGCCUCUUCCUCAACACCUUCGUGCCGGGGCUGGGAACGUUUGUAUCCGCUUUCACCGUGCUGUGCGGAGCCCGGACUGACCUCCCCGACAGGCACAUGUGUUGUGUGUUCUGGCUGAACAUUGCUGCUGCUCUGAUUCAGAUCCUGACUGCGAUCGUGAUGGUUGGCUGGAUUAUGAGUAUAUUUUGGGGGAUGGACAUGGUCAUUCUCGCAACAGAGCGGAGGUGCAGAGCAGCCGACAGAGACUUGCACUGAUCCCAUUGAGCAGCAGAGAUGGGGCAAGCACGGCGUGGGGUAGAACGUAGCACACGAUGGACGACUGAUGUGGAGGAGAAGGAUGGUACCAGGAGAAGGAAACACCCUUGGCAAAGGGGCUGGAGGUGCUGCUUUCUCUCUCCUCCCAGGAGGAAGUAGCUGAAGAUGUUUUGCCUCCUUUUUAUGCUCACUGUUAAAGGAAACUGGCUGCAGACAUCAAAAGCCAAGGAGCUGUUAAGAGAUAAUGUCUACAGUAUAUAAAAGCAAACCAGUUGUACUCCCCCACCCUGAGAGUCCAUCCUUGACUGCUUCGUGGUAGCAGAGGGCUCAGCCCAGCCUCCCCUGCUCACUGUGUGUAUAUGAUGCUCAGUGAAGCUCUGUCUGUGCAGAUGUCUUGAGAAACGUGCUUGCUGUAAAUCAUGCUGUACUGAUGAAGGGACUGAGGCCAUCCCCUGCUUCCAUCCACUGGCACUAUGUGAUGACCAGACCUCCCACCAGCCCCAGGGGGCCUUUAUCUAGCAAGGGACCUUGCCAAAGGCUUCUAUUGUAGAACAGUACUGGGGGAGCCAAGAAAGACUUUUUCUCCCCUCCCUCUGAAAGAGACUUGGUGGCAGUGUCUCCAUGCUUUGGAAACAGAUCCCAUCACAGCCCAGCAUGUGUUCCUGGCUGAAGCGGCAUCCCUGCUCUGCUUCUCCAAGGGCCAAAUUCACCACCCAGCGCUUUCAUGCCUCUUUCUGGAGCACCAUAGGGAAAGGUCACCUCCUCCAGGACACCCACCAACACCGGAUAACUCGCCUCCCACUUGCAGGAGCCCUGCCAUGACCUCCCACCAGUGCCACAUCACCACCACCACCAACCAGCCCCUGUCUCCUUGCUGGCACAGCAAGAGGUCACAGCCUGUGAACGCUUGGUCUGGCUGAAGGCACCCGGCAAUCGCAGCAGCAUCAUCUGCUUUAUAAAUAUAGAUGUUUUCGAUGCAAGUUUUACAGCUAAAAAGAGUGAUAGUGGGUAAUGAAGAAUAAAUGCAGUUGCUUCACCCCCGUCUGCCAACAGCACAGUGUUUUCUGCUGCUCUUUCCCAAUUGUGAAAGCCUCAAAAGAAAAGAA